This 207-nucleotide long non-coding RNA is filed under the name Capsicum annuum. Its description in RNAcentral is "long non-coding RNA (CANN_LNC001748)". Lineage: Eukaryota; Viridiplantae; Streptophyta; Magnoliopsida; Solanales; Solanaceae. The record is from RNAcentral.
AAGCAAUAACUUCAUUCAAAUUCAAUAUCAUCUUCUUGUUCUUUUUCUUCAAUUUCUUCAAUGUGCAAAAUCAUCUUCUUCUUUUUCUUCAAUUUUCCAACGACCAUAAUGUCAUCCUCUUCUUCCAUUGUUGAUAUAAAAUCAAUACACCCAAGCAAUAACUUCACUCAAUUCAAUCUUCUUUGUUAUACGACACCAAAAGUUACA